This 62-nucleotide microRNA precursor is filed under the name Mus musculus (house mouse). RNAcentral describes it as "Mmu-Mir-132-P2_pre stem-loop". It matches the Rfam family "mir-132 microRNA precursor family", at positions 11 to 84 of the family's 84-position model. Lineage: Eukaryota; Metazoa; Chordata; Mammalia; Rodentia; Muridae. The record is from RNAcentral.
ACCUUGGCUCUAGACUGCUUACUGCCCGGGCCGCCUUCAGUAACAGUCUCCAGUCACGGCCA